UACGUAGGGCGCAAGCGUUGUCCGGAAUUAUUGGGCAUAAAGAGCUCGUAGGCGGCCUGUUGCGUCCGCUGUGAAAUCCCGGGGCUCAACCCCGGGCCUGCAGUGGAUACGGGCUGGCUAGAGGCAGGCAGGGGAGAACGGAAUUCCUGGUGUAGCGGUGAAAUGCGUAGAUAUUGGGAGGAACACCAGUGGCGAAGGCGGCUACCUGGACCGGUUCUGACGCUGAUGCGCGAAAGCGUGGGUAGCAAACAGG
RNAcentral lists this ribosomal RNA (253 nucleotides) under uncultured bacterium. RNAcentral describes it as "partial 16S ribosomal RNA". It matches the Rfam family "Bacterial small subunit ribosomal RNA", at positions 524 to 776 of the family's 1533-position model. The record is from RNAcentral.